GUCCUAGUAGCUCAGAGGUAGAAUGUUGGACUCGUAAUCCGGAGGACUGGGGUUUGAGUCCCAGUAGAGACA
RNAcentral lists this transfer RNA (72 nucleotides) under Diaphorina citri (Asian citrus psyllid). It matches the Rfam family "tRNA". From Rfam's summary of the family: Transfer RNA (tRNA) molecules are approximately 80 nucleotides in length. Their secondary structure includes four short double-helical elements and three loops (D, anti-codon, and T loops). Further hydrogen bonds mediate the characteristic L-shaped molecular structure. tRNAs have two regions of fundamental functional importance: the anti-codon, which is responsible for specific mRNA codon recognition, and the 3' end, to which the tRNAs corresponding amino acid is attached (by aminoacyl-tRNA synthetases). tRNAs cope with the degeneracy of the genetic code in two manners: having more than one tRNA (with a specific anti-codon) for a particular amino acid; and 'wobble' base-pairing, i.e. permitting non-standard base-pairing at the 3rd anti-codon position. Lineage: Eukaryota; Metazoa; Arthropoda; Insecta; Hemiptera; Psyllidae. The record is from Rfam by way of RNAcentral.